RNAcentral lists this unclassified non-coding RNA (1834 nucleotides) under Acyrthosiphon pisum (pea aphid). RNAcentral describes it as "uncharacterized LOC100575054, transcript variant X1". Lineage: Eukaryota; Metazoa; Arthropoda; Insecta; Hemiptera; Aphididae. The record is from RNAcentral.
UCAAUAUACUCAGCAUUUAUUCAUGAUAUCAAAUACCUAUUUAUGGUGCUUAAAGAUAUUUGUUUGCUUAUUUUUACACGUAGCUUACGGAAUGUUUUUGUUUUGAUAUUACUAAUUUUUAUCGUUAUCAAAUAUGUAUUGAAAUAUGUAUGUAAUAUGGUUGGUAACAUUAAGAACGCUGAUGCGACAACGACUACCGCGAUUCUGAAUUUAAUAUAAAUUUUCAUUAAAAAGUUCGCACUUUUUCAUUUAUUACUUAAUUUCUAAACGUACGAUUUUGAUGAUUUUCACAAAAGCACGUUCUACACAAUAGUUUUGAUGUUAUGGAGUUUAUUAGGAGUUAAUUGAUGCAUUAGAAAACUAGUUAUGUCGCUUAACAAAUUUACCUGUAUUUUACACAGUUUAAAUAGACAACUUCUACUCCGGUAUACUAUACACACACCGUCGUAAAGUUAUUUUUAUUUUUUUACAUAGCUCGCGCAACGACACAGACGUACACAGACGUGUUUGACUCGUGUACAUUGGUAUGGUAUGACAAGACGGCAAAGCAUCACCCGGCCGAUGACGUCGCAUUAUUAAAUUGCGACGAUCCAAAUAUCUAGGUCUCCAUUCAUCGGUAUACUCUACCAACGUCUCGAAGGAUUUAAUCAGAAGUCAGCCGAGUUAGCGGCAACAUUUACGAAUAACGAUAGACAGCCUAUUAUAUUGGGAUUGUCUUGGAUCCGCAAUCUACCUGAGAAUAUACUGCUCGCGUAAUCACAAACGAAUCUAAUAUAAUCUAAUUUGGUUCGCGGAAUCGCGAAAUGUCGGAGGUGUCACCGACCACGUUCUUCAUCCCCCCCACUUGUGACACCACGGGAGGGACGACGAUCACCGCAUCGUAAGGACGAAGAAGACUAUACGGACAAGUACGAGACUGCUAGGGCGGCGGACUCCGGUCGGCCCGCCAAAAGACGAACAUCCCACCUACUCAUGGAAAAAAGGAAAAACAUUAAAUUGUAAAUUGUUAUGUUAUGUCAUGUAUGAAGGGGGGUAAGUCGCGGGGAAUUGUCCCGUCUACCCCCCACGUAUGUAUAUAUAUUGUUGUUUACUUCAAUAAACGACGGUGGCGUCGCGGAAGUAAUGCGCAAGCAAUUCCCGCGGCGCCGUCGGUUCAAAACUGGAAAAAAAAAAAAAAAAUAUAAUCUAAUUUACACAUAAAAAGACAUUGCUUCCACAGCGAGUUAUACUUUGAAAAAGGAGUUGAACAAUCACAAUUUUUUUCCGGGCAACGCCGGCCUAAGGUCUAAGGUACACGCGGCGGGUACCUGCUGCGGUUUCCAUCGGCGUUUGUUAUGCGUUUGCCCUCGUCGUCGUCGUCGUCGUCGUCGUCGCAGUUUCUGUCCGCUCGCACACGCGGAAUAAUCGGACGCGAGUCGUCUUUUCGUUUUCGGGUCUCGACGGCCCGAAAAAAAAUUACACGGAGUGUGCAGACGGCCGCGCCACGUAUAACGCGGUUCAGGUAUAAGUUUUGAGGUAUACCGCACCGCGUACAGUCGCGUCGCCGCCGUCGCCGUUUGCGUGUUGAUGAUCGCGGCCUGCACGUCGACGGAUCGCCGCAAAGUUUAGAAGGAAUCGAAAAUAAAAGGUACCAAGUUUAAUUUGGCUGAGUUGAAAUAAUUUCUUACUAUCACGUGGACUCAUUAACUUUUCCAUAUUGUCCAAUACCUAUGAAACAUUGAGGGAGAAUAUCGUUUUGUUAUUGAUAAAUUAUAUCCGUGUGGAUCAAGAAAAAACCAUACAAUUCAAUUUAAUUACUAUUCUAGUAAAAAGGCAUCAAAUAUAACUGAAAUAA